GAUGAACGCUAGCGGCAGGCCUAAUACAUGCAAGUCGGACGGGAUUCAGGAGCUUGCUUCUGAUGAGAGUGGCGCACGGGUGCGUAACACGUAUGUAACCUACCUUUAUCAGGGGGAUAGCCUCUCGAAAGAGAGAUUAAGCCCGCAUAAAAUCACAGCACAGCAUUGUGUAAUGAUCAAAUAUUUAUAGGAUAAAGAUGGGCAUGCGGAACAUUAGCUAGAUGGCGGGGUAACGGCCCACCAUGGCGACGAUGUUUAGGGGAUCUGAGAGGAUGGCCCCCCACACUGGUACUGAGACACGGACCAGACUCCUACGGGAGGCAGCAGUAAGGAAUAUUGGUCAAUGGGCGGAAGCCUGAACCAGCCAUGCCGCGUGCAGGAAGACGGCCCUACGGGUUGUAAACUGCUUUUAUACGGGAAUAAACCCAGAUACGUGUAUCUGGCUGAAUGUACUGUAAGAAUAAGGAUCGGCUAACCCCGUG
RNAcentral lists this ribosomal RNA (482 nucleotides) under uncultured bacterium. RNAcentral describes it as "partial 16S ribosomal RNA". It matches the Rfam family "Bacterial small subunit ribosomal RNA", at positions 28 to 507 of the family's 1533-position model. The record is from RNAcentral.